Non-coding RNA from Pelecanus crispus (Dalmatian pelican), 782 nucleotides. Lineage: Eukaryota; Metazoa; Chordata; Aves; Pelecaniformes; Pelecanidae. The record is from RefSeq and is a predicted model, not a curated record.
AUCCUGGCAAACAAUCACUUUUGAUAAACAGCCUGCAUCUUUUAUCAGAAUAGUCGGAACUCACAACACAGCUAAUGAGGUGUUUCACUGUGUGCAUUUUGAGUGCCCAGCACAAAACAGUACCCACAAGGAUGAGAGUAGUAAGGAAGUGGCAACAACAGAGGUGGGGACUGGUGGACAACAGCUUGUUUCUCGCCCUGUUCGAGCUGCAAGCACUAGUUCCUUGCAUUCCCCUCCUGGAUCCACCUCGCGUUCACAUGCUCACCAACUGUAAAGAAGAUUGAAAGGGAGCUUUUGCAGCCCCGCUGACGUUAUAUGGAAUUAUUCAGAAUCUUCUUGUGCUGGCACCUUUUCUUUCUUUUUCUCUGUGAACAAAGGGGACCAUGUGUGAAAGCUGGAAAUGCUGAAAUGGAAAAGGCUUUUCCCAAGGACAUGAAGAGACUGCUUCAGUCUCCUCAAUUUGUUCAAAUCAGGCUCGUCUCUGAGGGGGGAGAAAAUAGGUCUUCAAUCUUCAUCAAGUACCCCAUUAACACCCUACCUCUCUAAUCUAACCAAGGCAAGGAGAACAGAAGGAAAUAAAAGGCAGAGCUACAGUAGAAAUCUAAAAUGACUCAAGCAGAAUGAAAAGCAUAUGAAAUAAGUGUGUGUUCCCUGAAGGCUUCCAUUAGCAAAGAAAAUGUUUAUGGAACACAUCAGUCCAGAAUAUAUGUUAUUUUUAAAAGUUAUUCUUCAUUCAUAUUCCUUUGUAACUAGUAAUCUGUUUUCUAAAUUGUUUUGACUCU